Molecule: ribosomal RNA, 719 nt
Filed under: uncultured beta proteobacterium
Lineage: Bacteria; Pseudomonadati; Pseudomonadota; Betaproteobacteria
Description: bacterial SSU rRNA
Rfam family: Bacterial small subunit ribosomal RNA
Source: RNAcentral
GUCGAACGGCAGCACGGGUGCUUGCACCUGGUGGCGAGUGGCGAACGGGUGAGUAAUACAUCGGAACAUGUCCUGUAGUGGGGGAUAGCCCGGCGAAAGCCGGAUUAAUACCGCAUACGAUCUACGGAUGAAAGCGGGGGACCUUCGGGCCUCGCGCUAUAGGGUUGGCCGAUGGCUGAUUAGCUAGUUGGUGGGGUAAAGGCCUACCAAGGCGACGAUCAGUAGCUGGUCUGAGAGGACGACCAGCCACACUGGGACUGAGACACGGCCCAGACUCCUACGGGAGGCAGCAGUGGGGAAUUUUGGACAAUGGGCGAAAGCCUGAUCCAGCAAUGCCGCGUGUGUGAAGAAGGCCUUCGGGUUGUAAAGCACUUUUGUCCGGAAAGAAAUCCUUGGUUCUAAUAUAGCCGGGGGAUGACGGUACCGGAAGAAUAAGCACCGGCUAACUACGUGCCAGCAGCCGCGGUAAUACGUAGGGUGCGAGCGUUAAUCGGAAUUACUGGGCGUAAAGCGUGCGCAGGCGGUUUGCUAAGACCGAUGUGAAAUCCCCGGGCUCAACCUGGGAACUGCAUUGGUGACUGGCAGGCUAGAGUAUGGCAGAGGGGGGUAGAAUUCCACGUGUAGCAGUGAAAUGCGUAGAGAUGUGGAGGAAUACCGAUGGCGAAGGCAGCCCCCUGGGCCAAUACUGACGCUCAUGCACGAAAGCGUGGGGAGCAAAC